UACGGAGGAUGCGAGCGUUAUCCGGAUUUAUUGGGUUUAAAGGGUGCGCAGGCGGAUAUAUAAGUCAGUGGUGAAAUUCCUGGGCUCAACCGAGGGACUGCCGUUGAUACUGUAUAUCUUGAGUGUAGUGGGCGUUGGCGGAAUGUGUCAUGUAGCGGUGAAAUGCAUAGAGAUGACACAGAACACCGAUAGCGAAGGCAGCUGACGAUACUUACACUGACGCUCAUGCACGAGAGCGUGGGGAUCAAACAGG
This 253-nucleotide ribosomal RNA is filed under the name uncultured bacterium. RNAcentral describes it as "partial 16S ribosomal RNA". It matches the Rfam family "Bacterial small subunit ribosomal RNA", at positions 524 to 776 of the family's 1533-position model. The record is from RNAcentral.